This 482-nucleotide ribosomal RNA is filed under the name Bathymodiolus brevior. RNAcentral describes it as "partial 16S ribosomal RNA". It matches the Rfam family "Bacterial large subunit ribosomal RNA", at positions 1827 to 2600 of the family's 2925-position model. Lineage: Eukaryota; Metazoa; Mollusca; Bivalvia; Mytilida; Modiolidae. The record is from RNAcentral.
UUCCUCUUGAGUUUGAUUAUAGGAGGUACGCCCUGCCCUAUGCUCUGUGGAGUAAAUGGCUGCAUAAAUCUGAGUGUACGAAGGUAGCAUGAUAAUUUGCCCUUUAAAUGGGGGCCUGUAUGAAUGGGUUUACGUGAUAGUUGCUGUGUCACAAGAAUUUAAUUGAAAUUAACUUUUAGGUGAAGAGGCCUAGUUGAGUUUAAAGGACGACAAGACCCUAGAAGCUUUACUAAGGGUGAGUUACAAGGUAAGUUAUUCCAGUUUUGUUGGGGCAACAUAGUUAGAAAAUAUAACUUGUUUUACAUUGACUUACAAGUUAAAGCCACAGUAGUGAGUAAGAUAAGCUACUCUAGGGAUAACAGCGUAAUUUCUUUUAAUAGUACUUAUUGUAAAAGUAGUUUGCGACCUCGAUGUUGGAUUAAGGUAUCCUUAAGGUGUAUAAUUUUUAAAGGGUUGGUCUGUUCGUCCAUUAAAACCUUACA